GUUCUUGAAAGAUAAUAGCAAUCUAUUGGUCUUAGGAACCAAAAACUCUUGGUGCAACUCCAAGCAAGAACU
This 72-nucleotide transfer RNA is filed under the name Glyphis fowlerae (Borneo river shark). Its description in RNAcentral is "tRNA-Leu". It matches the Rfam family "tRNA". From Rfam's summary of the family: Transfer RNA (tRNA) molecules are approximately 80 nucleotides in length. Their secondary structure includes four short double-helical elements and three loops (D, anti-codon, and T loops). Further hydrogen bonds mediate the characteristic L-shaped molecular structure. tRNAs have two regions of fundamental functional importance: the anti-codon, which is responsible for specific mRNA codon recognition, and the 3' end, to which the tRNAs corresponding amino acid is attached (by aminoacyl-tRNA synthetases). tRNAs cope with the degeneracy of the genetic code in two manners: having more than one tRNA (with a specific anti-codon) for a particular amino acid; and 'wobble' base-pairing, i.e. permitting non-standard base-pairing at the 3rd anti-codon position. The record is from RNAcentral. Lineage: Eukaryota; Metazoa; Chordata; Chondrichthyes; Carcharhiniformes; Carcharhinidae. RNAcentral also lists the same sequence under 3 other names.